Molecule: ribosomal RNA, 942 nt
Filed under: Thysanozoon sp. USFL022
Lineage: Eukaryota; Metazoa; Platyhelminthes; Polycladida; Pseudocerotidae
Description: partial large subunit ribosomal RNA
Rfam family: Eukaryotic large subunit ribosomal RNA
Source: RNAcentral
GCCCAGCACCGAAUCCUUCACCAUCUCGGUGACAGGAAAUGUGGUGUUUAGGCCGUACCUUGUCCCGACACGUCUCUCCUCAAGUCCACUUGAUUGUGGCCCCAGGCCCAGAGAGGGUGUAAGGCCCGUGGAGGCGAGACGUUCGGUACCUGGUGCGUCCUUAGAGUCGGGUUGUUUGGGAAUGCAGCCCUAAGCGGGUGGUAAACUCCAUCCAAGGCUAAAUACCAGCACGAGUCCGAUAGCGAAGAAGUACCGCGAGGGAAGGUUGAAAAGAACUUUGAAGAGAGAGUUCAAGAGUACGUGAAACCGCUGAGAGGCAAACUGGUGGAACUGAAAUGGUCCCGAGGAAUUCAGCCGUUGGUCGUUGCACAGUCUUUGGUGAUUGAUCUAACGACGGCGCCAUUGAAUGACGUUUCGAUCAUCGGUGCACUUUCCUCGCCUGGGCCCGACCACGACCGGUGAGCUGAUCUGUCUGUCGUGCUUGGAAGAUAGCGCCGUCUUCGGAAGGCGUGUUAUAGACAGGCAUACGGAGCAGUCGGCGCACUGGAUGAUAGUGCCUGCCCAUCUGGGCUCAUAUGGUGGUUGUUUUGUUGGCGAGUUCUGAUGUCACUACUUCGGUAGAGUCGUUAGACUCUGUUGGCAUUAUGGCUGUCCUCUAUGAUUGGCACUGUUAAGUCUGUGGUUGUGAAGUAGGUAGUCCACCUGACCCGUCUUGAAACACGGACCAAGGAGUCUAACAUGUGCGCGAGUCAUUGGGUUCACGAAACCUAAAGGCGCAGUGAAGGUAAAGAUCUGUUUUGGCAGAUUGAGGUGGGAUGCCGGGUUACGCGCCCGGCCGCACUACCGGCCCGUUCUAUAUGUCUUUCAUAGGAGCGGAGCAAGAGCGUACACGUUGGGACCCGAAAGAUGGUGAACUAUGCUUGCGCAGGUCGAAGCCAGAGA